CUCAGAGGUAAACUCAUCACUAACAAAAAACCUUCAAGAGAGUGUACAAACAGUUGAGAAAAACCAAAUCAGACCUACUAAAUGGUCAUCGAACCACAAAGAUUUCUCAAUAAACGUAACCUAGCCCACAAGACUAGACAAAACCUUUCCAAGAACACAAUACAGGUUUAUCAGCCACAAUCAAGGUCUAAAACACUGUACUAACGUUCUACCAUCAUCAGAUAACUAUAAGAUUAUUACAAAAAACACCAAAGCUCUCCAAAUCUAAGAAGAAAAGAAGAAGCAGAGGCGAGAGAACCAGAGAGAGAGAAAACCCAAGAGACAAUUUCAUCCAAAAGAGAGUGACCGACUGAUUGAUUUCCACCAACCCUCAAAAGUCCUCAAGGCAUUAAUUAUGGAAGAAUAAAUCUCAGCCUUAGGAUUAGAUCAACGGUCUACAAUAGUCAAGAGAAUGCACAACUCAAGUGACCACUUAUUAUCCAAUGCUAAAGUGCCAACUGUCCAUAGGAAUACAAGUGGGAAAAAAUGCAUUUUCACUUAUGAAAGUGUGGUUUGAGAAACACGACUCCACAAAUCUUCACCUUGGUUCUCAAAUCAUGCACUUCCUCUCUUGUAGCUAUAAUGCUAGUGACAGAACCAUACCCUACAUCAUCGCCCAAGUACCUGCACAAAAAAUCAACCUGUAUCAAUACUAAGCAAUGAUAAACAAGAUCUGAAUUUAUUAACAGGCAGUAUUUUAGUCCCCAUAUUAGCAGGGUUAAAGUUAGUAUGAAUUUUCUCAAGAACCAUUUCACCAGAUGAGAGUUUUUCUCUUAUGAAAUUAUACUUCACUUCAAUGUGUUUUGACCUUUCAUGAUAGACAAGAUUUUUGCUUAAAAAUAGAGCACUUUGACUAUCAGUUAAUAUCACAGUUGGAGUAUUCAGAAAAUUUAGUUCAGUCUAGAUCCCUUUAAGCUAUAUGCAUUCUUUUACACAUUCAGUAAUUGCCAUAUAUUUGGCUUCAGUGCUGGACAAAUUUACAAUUGAUUGAAGUUGAGACUUCCACAUAAUGCAAUUAUCACCAAGUGUAAAAAAGAAGGCAGUUGUAGACUUUCUUUGAUCUUUAUCUCCAGUGAAAUCAGAAUCUACAUAACCUUUAAGAGUUAAUGGUUCCAAUCCCUUUUUGAACACCAAUUCUACAUUUAGUGUCCCACCUAUGUAUCUAAAUAGCCACUUUAACCAAACCCAGCAUGGUUUCCCAAGGUAUGCCAUAAACUUACUUAAAAAACUGAUUGAAUAUGCAAGAUUUGGUCGUGUUGUAAUCAUGGAAAACAUAACAGAUCCAAAAGCAUUGGCAUAUGGAAUAUUUGUCAUCUCUUUAAUCUCAGAUUCAGUUUUAGGACACUAGGCAGAUGAGAGAUUCGCAUGGGCAGCAAGGGGAACAUUGACGGACUUAGCGUCUUUCACGCCAAACUUCGUUAUAACUUUGUGUAGGUAGGGCUCUUGUGAUAUAGUUAGCAUAUUUUCUUACUUAUUUUGAUUUAUCACCAUCCCUAGAAAAAAUUUGGCAUUUCCUAAGUCCUUCAUAUCAAAUUUAGACCUUAAUAAGUUUUCAAGCCUCAUUAUUUCAGCUUUACUAGGGCUCACCAGAAG
Molecule: long non-coding RNA, 1632 nt
Filed under: Olea europaea subsp. europaea
Lineage: Eukaryota; Viridiplantae; Streptophyta; Magnoliopsida; Lamiales; Oleaceae
Source: RNAcentral